Molecule: non-coding RNA, 1669 nt
Organism: Malus domestica (apple)
Lineage: Eukaryota; Viridiplantae; Streptophyta; Magnoliopsida; Rosales; Rosaceae
Source: RefSeq, a predicted model, not a curated record
CUCAGUAAUCACCAGCUUUUGACCUUACCUCUUUUCACCUUACCUCUUUCACAUCACCCAAGAUAGACCCCAGCAAUCACCAGCUUUUGACCUUACCUCUUUCCACCUUACCUCUUUCACACAACCGGUCCUAUUUGUUUCUUUCUUUGUCCUUUCAGAACCUCAAAAUUGAUUCUUUCCAAAAAAAAAACCUCAAAAUUGGUUCUUUUAGUCUCUCUCUCUCUUCUCUCAUAUUCUUCUUCACCCUUUUAGAACCUCAAAAUUGGAUCUCAAAUCCAACUUGCUCCACCACAGAUUGAAAUGUUUAAUACUCUCUAUCUGAAAUGUUUAAUACUCUCUCUCUCUUUCUCUUCACACUCUCUCUUCCCUCAACUUCACUGAGGCGAGCUACAGAAAUUCGUCGAGGCUCUGCUGCAAUGUACGAGAUCGAAAGUUGUAGAUCCGUUGCAAAAAUUACAGCGAGUUUGGGAUUUGCAACGAGAUUCAAACCGCCUAAGGAGCCUAGCGAGCGCCUGGGUGGCCGCCUAAGUCCUCCCCGCCUAACUAAACAUUUUGGUCUAAAUCAGGUAGAAGUUCCGCCACACAGAACCUAGGUCGAUUUUUAGAACACUGCAUAAAAUUAGUCCAAAAUCUUUGAUAAUAAGCAUUAUUUUAAAUUAUACUAGCAUAUGCCUAUACACAUUGUGUGUGUGUGAGUAUUUUUUAUUUUUGUUUCUAAAAUGAGGAGAAAAGGAGAGAGAACGUAGAAGAGAGGUUUGUGUUUCUAUUUUUUAUUUUUUGUAAAUAUUAAAUAUAUGCUAAAAUCACCCAUAGAUGAAGAUUCAAUUAAAAACAGAAAAAUUUAAUUUUGUAAAAUUACAUUAUUGACCGUCAUUUUUUUUGUGAUAGAAGAUAAGAAAAAAAAAAUCAUCAUCUUUUAGUUGAUAAAGAAGAUUUUAUUAAUCGGUAAUUUAGAUAAUAUAAAUACACUUGAGUAUUGCGGUUUGUACUAAUUAUAAUUAUUUUAUAAUUAUACCAACAACUUCAUCAUAUCCUCCUCGAAGUCUAGCUCCUCCGCCACUUCCAUGUCCACCGCUGGUGGGAUUGAAUCGCUUGGGGUUUAAGUGAGCAAACAGAGACGGGACAGGAUGAAACAGGACGGGACGGAAUGGAGAGGAAACAAAAAUGCCCUCGGAUGGAAACAAGGAGGAAGAAGAAGGAGAUGGAGAGGUUAUAAUUUUGUGUUACACGAAUGUGGAACGAGUCAUUUCAAAGGAUGAGGCAGAACGAAAAUUCAUCCAAAAUUCGUCCCGUGGAACAGUGUGUUCCACCCGUUUUAGGCGCACCAAACUUGCGACGGAACGUCUCGUCUCGCUCCAUUCUGUCCUGUACCACGUAUCAAACAGUAUCUAAGUAAAAGAUAAGAAGAGUGUAGUACCGCUCGUCAUGUAGAAUAAACUACCCCAUGUUCUUUAGUGGGCGAAAUUUCUAAGUGUGUAUGGAAUACGAAGUGAUACAUCAUAUGUUAUUAUAUAAGUGGAGGGAAAUUUUAUUUUUCAAGUGUCCCACAACUUGUAUAAUAACAUGUGAUGUACCAUCCCGUAUUUUAGGUACAUUAAAAAAUCUCUCCUUGAGUGGGAGCAGGAUCCAAUGUACUAAUCUGAAAUAUUAACAAGGUGACUUUGUUGUA